AUUGAACGCUGGCGGCAGGCCUAACACAUGCAAGUCGAGCGGAGCGGCGGACGGGUGCGUAAUGCCUAGGAAUCUGACUGGUAGUGGGGGAUAACGUCAGGAAACGGGCGCUAAUACCGCAUCCUAUCAGCUGAGCCUAGGGCGGAUUAGCUAGUUGGGGGGGUAAAGGCAUACCAAGGCGACGAUCCGUAACUGGUCUGAGAGGAUGAUCAGUCAAACUGGAACUAGGACCCGGUCCAGACCCCUACGGGGGGCAGCAGUGGGGAAUAUUGGACAAUGGGCGAAAGCCUGAUCCAGACAUGCCGCGUGUGUGAAGAAGGUCUUCGGAUUGUAAAGCACUUUAAGUUGGGAGGCGUUACCAACAGAAUAAGCACCGGCUAACUUCGUGCCAGCAGCCGCGGUAAUAC
Molecule: ribosomal RNA, 407 nt
Filed under: uncultured bacterium
Lineage: Bacteria
Description: partial 16S ribosomal RNA
Rfam family: Bacterial small subunit ribosomal RNA
Source: RNAcentral